GAUGAAGAACGUAGUGAAAUGCGACAAGUAAUGUGAAUUGCAGAAUUCCGUGAAUCAUCGAAUCUUUGAACGCACAUUGCGCCCCUUGGUAUUCCGAGGGGCAUGCCUGUUCGAGCGUCAUAUUAACCACUCCCGCUUGCGGGGUCUUGGGCUUCGCCUCCGGGCGGGCCUUAAAAUCAGUGGCGGUGCCGUCGGGCUCUACGCGUAGUAAAUUUUCUCGCGAUAGGGUCCCGGUGGAUGCUUGCCAACAACCCCCAACUUCUUAAGGUUGACCUCGGAUCAGGUAGGGAUACCCGCUGAACUUAAGCAUAUCAAUAAGCGGAGGA
This 326-nucleotide unclassified non-coding RNA is filed under the name soil metagenome. Its description in RNAcentral is "partial contains 5.8S ribosomal RNA, internal transcribed spacer 2, and large subunit ribosomal RNA". The stretch from base 1 to 120 matches the Rfam family "5.8S ribosomal RNA", at positions 35 to 154 of the family's 154-position model. The record is from RNAcentral.